This 255-nucleotide ribosomal RNA is filed under the name uncultured Anaerolineaceae bacterium. RNAcentral describes it as "partial 16S ribosomal RNA". It matches the Rfam family "Bacterial small subunit ribosomal RNA", at positions 1114 to 1382 of the family's 1533-position model. Lineage: Bacteria; Bacillati; Chloroflexota; Anaerolineae; Anaerolineales; Anaerolineaceae. The record is from RNAcentral.
GUUACAAGUGUCACGCGGGACCGCCGGUAUCAAGCCGGAGGAAGGUGGGGAUGACGUCAAGUCAGCAUGGCCUUUAUAUCCGGGGCUACACACACGCUACAAUGGCCGGUACAAUGGGUUGCUAAGCCGCGAGGCGGAGCCAAUCCCCCAAAGCCGGUCUCAGUUCAGAUUGCAGGCUGCAACUCGCCUGCAUGAAGCUGGAGUUGCUAGUAAACGCGCGUCAGCUAUAGUGCGUUGAAUACGUUCUCGGGCCUU